UUUGCGAUCAGGCUGUUAAGAACAACCCUGUCUUAAUGAGUAGGCACCAGGGUUCCCAGGAAGUGAGACCUGACUGCGAGAUGGUCACAGGGAGCCGCAAGCAGUAAGACCGUGGUCAUUUGCCUUUCUGUUUCUACAGCUAGGAUAUUUGGACAUUAUUGUUACCUAAGAAUUAAUAACAUAUUCCAUAAGCCUUCAUGUCGAAGUUUCCUUUAUAAACAGUCAUAUGAAGGAAAUGACACAUACAGGACUUUGGGGCUCAUCAAGGGAUUCUUAAGGAUAUUGCAGAAGCAAAACGAGCCUUCGCUGAACAGGCUAUACCCUCCUCACCCCCAAACAGGAAGAAGAAAUGUCACUUGCCGCUCAUUUCCAGAAAGUAUCUUGCAUUCAUUAGCAUUCGGCCUUGAGGUUUCAGCUCUAACUGGGAGAGAGAAGAAGAAAGAACAUCGUCAGAAUGGGAAGCCAACCCUGGCUCUAGGACCUCUUAACUAGCUGCAUGACUUAUGGCAGAUUGCCACUAGAGAGGAGAUCUCGGCUCUUCUCCACGCAAGUUCAUCAUCACCGAGCCCGCUAUUAUCAGAACUGUGCAGCACCUGAGACAGUGGCUUGCCUUUGAUGGAAUGACUUGGCAGUUCAUUCAUUUUACUGGAGGUUCAAAAUUGAAAGAAGAAAGAAGAUUCAAAAAACGGAAUCUGUUGUCCUGCAGGGUGUUUACCUGAAGACCAUAUGAGCUUAUCCCCAGAUAUUAAUCACUGACAGAAGUGUCCUGGAUGCCAAGCCUUGCUCACUUGGGAAGAAGUAGGUCCUAGGGAAUAAAGAUAAGUCCUGCUCUGAGGGGUUUUCUUUCACUUACUAUGUGGGCUAUACAUCUAGGCAGAUCAGGGUAUACUCCAUGCAGUAUACUUUUUCUAUCACAAGCAUUUGUAAAAUGACUAAAGAAAAAUUUAAUUAGGUGAUUCUUGAAAGUUUUCUAUAUGCAUGUUUUAUAUAUAUAUAUAUUAUAUGCAUAUUUGAAUAGUUUUUAAAUUACUAAAUUACCUGACAUAUAUUUUAGAAAAAGUUCAUGCAUGGUACUUAUAUAUUCUAUACAUUAUUAUAAUUUUUCAAGUUCUAUAUGUAUAUAUACAACUUAUGGACAGUAUCGUACAGAAGACAGAAGAGCAAAGUGCCAUUUUAAGACUUAUUCCGAAUACCACGUAAUGUAACAUACACAGGAGGAAAAUAGAUAUAUCUGUAUCUAUGUAGAUAUUUACAUACAUGUGUAUUUGAAUAUAUGUAUGCAUGUAUGUUUAUAUACACACCUACACAUAUAUGAUAUAUGUCAAACCAUCAUACUAUGCCAUUAGUGGAAUAAAUAGAUUAAGACAUGA
Molecule: long non-coding RNA, 1370 nt
Organism: Myodes glareolus (Bank vole)
Lineage: Eukaryota; Metazoa; Chordata; Mammalia; Rodentia; Cricetidae
Source: RefSeq, a predicted model, not a curated record